Molecule: non-coding RNA, 276 nt
Submitted as: unclassified sequences
Source: Rfam
GGAAAAUAAGCAAGCAAGAAAGAACGGUUGUAGCGACAGGGCGGCUCACAAGUAACGUGGUAGUUAGGCUAUUCGAGAAAUAGACGGAGUGAGUGCAGAAUAAACAAGAACCGUCACCGGAUUCGAAGAAAGUAGGAAUUGCACGGCACUGAUGCAUAGUGUUCCGCACUGAUGGAAGAAAGCGGACAGGCUUGACCGACAAGCACAUUAACCGUAAAACAAGAAGCAAUUAAACGGAAGUAUCGAACGCGCGAAAGACUUAAGCACUUGUUUUCC